AUGCCUUGGUUCAAGACAAGGCAGAGCAUUUCAAAACACUCAACUCCCAUCUAUGUCAAACAGACACCUGAUACUGAAACCAGUUGUCAUGUCUUUAAAGACUAUCCAGUGCAGAUGUUUGGCAUCUCAGGAAAUAUGUCAGGUGUCGAUUCUGCACCUGUUUUGGGAGAUAUCUACAGGCAAUGUGGAAACCUACUGGUUCAGCUUGAAGGCAUUUAGUUGCCUUUGUUUCCUGUGAUUUGGUGGCCAUUACAUAUUUGGGGCCCUGCAAAUACCAGCAGAAAUGUGUAAAUUACAACAUCAGGGCCAGGGAGAAUUUUUUCUCAUAUUUUUAGCACUAAGAUAAAGCUAGAAAACUU
Molecule: long non-coding RNA, 359 nt
Filed under: Parus major (Great Tit)
Lineage: Eukaryota; Metazoa; Chordata; Aves; Passeriformes; Paridae
Description: lncRNA (ENSPMJG00000004267.1)
Source: RNAcentral